Molecule: long non-coding RNA, 234 nt
Organism: Lingula anatina
Lineage: Eukaryota; Metazoa; Brachiopoda; Lingulata; Lingulida; Lingulidae
Source: RefSeq, a predicted model, not a curated record
GGUUAUUUCGGAACAUUGUGUCAAAAAGCACAAUGUGGGGAAAACGCCCAAUGCGCUGACACGCUGCGUAAUCGUACAUUGCCCGAGAACAAUGACAACUGCAAUUCAUUAUAUUACCAACAUUGUAUUUGCAACGAGGGUUACAGCGGGGAUGGAUUCAACUGCACCGAAUCGACGAAAUAAACACCGGGAAAAAGAAAUAACAACCAAAAAAUCAGGACAGGAUACAUAGCU